GGAGCCGCCUCCCCACGGCCGCCGCAACUUUCCCUCCUCCCCGGAGACCCCCUCUGCAGGUGUCCCCCAACGGCGAGCCAACUCCGGAGGCAGGUUCAGCCUCCCCCCUGCCUCCGUGCCUACCCGCGGCUGGAGACAAAGGGGAGGCCGGCUCUCGCGCACCACUUUUCGGGCGGGCUUCGCUUCUUCGCCAGGGAUGGAUGCCCGCCUCUGCGAACUCGGCCACCGGGCCGCCAUCGGGAUGGUCCUGAGACCCGGGCGGAGACUUUCUGCUUCUUAGAAGGUCGGGGAGUCCGGACCUCGACGCCGCCUACGGAGAUGAGAUAAAGAGACGCUUGUUUAACGGUGCAGAUUAAUGACCCCCCCCCAUCCCGGAGGCGGGGAUGUGGAGAGCCGCCCCAAAUGGGAGAAAGUGGGUCCUGCAGGUGCCGGUUGGGUUUUCCAGCCGUCCUGCGGACUCGGGAUGACAUCACCUGGCUCCCAGUCUCCUCCCGAGCUGCUCUUAAAGGCGUUAAGACUCUCCAGGUCAGACAAACGCGUCCCUUCGCUGUUCGUACACAAAGAAGCGGCGGCCUGGAAGAACCGAUCAGCUGGGGUUCUGUCUCAGUCAAACUGAGUUUCACUCAGCCUAGCCUUACGCGUGCCAGCUUGGAUGAGAAUUUAAUACCUACUUUCGAAUCUGAAAGUAAGGUUGAUGGUAGGAGCAUUGCAAUAGAUCCUCUUCGCUUUGAAGUGGAAAUUAAAGAUGUAACACCGAGCCCCACCUGGAUCUUUUAUGCGCAACCUGGAGCCUGUAAACAGAGGGCCCCUUUCCUUCCAUCUCUGGGAAAAUCGUCAGGGAACCCGCCAGGCCUUCCUCCUCCCAAGCGAUCUACACCUCCGGAGUGCUGAGAUUACAGGCAUGAACCGCCACACCCAGUUUUAUAUAGUUCUAGGGAUGGAACCCAGGGCUUCAUGCGCGCUAGGCACGUCAUCUUCCAGCUCAGCUUCAUCCCGGGCUCUCUCUUAGCGUGUGUUUACAUCAAAGGUCCGUGUCUACUGGAAAUGACUCACUGGUCUCAGCAGCCUACCUGAAAGACUACAACCGUGGGCAUCUUCACGUCGUUAAAGUAGCUGAAUUCAACACUGCAAGUUCACCGGAAACUCCCCUCUGAACCAGUACCCUUUACCCUCACCUAAAACGGUUUGCAUUCCUGAGUCUCAAGCCCCUAAACAAGCCCCAGUUUGGGUCUGCUAUAUGGGGGCUUUGUAGAUGACUGUGAGGCUGCAUCUAGCUCUACCAUGAAAGGGGACUACAUGGCUGCUGACUCUGUGCUGAGCGCUCACAAGAAGGUGCUGUCAACAUUACAAUCAAGUAUUUAUCAACCCUAAUGAUAAUGGGGGGAUAGUAACAUUAUAAGUGGCUGGCGAUAGAGAGAAGUGAUUUUAUGUCAAUACAAAGUAUUAAAAAGUAUCUGCCGAGGCAAACAGCAGUUCAUUCACCUGCCCAGGGUGAAACAGGUACUUGCUUCCCCUCCUUUGUUAACUAUGUUACCAGCACUGGCAAAAGCAAAUUGGUUUGGCUCUUCCUGCUCGGUGUUGAUGGCCUUUCUCUGCCUACCUUAAGGAACAAUCCACCUCAAUGUUUUUCAGCACUUUGGAAGUACUCUCUAAGCCAGGGAUGAAAAUAGCUGGCCAGGAAAAAAAAAAAAUCACUGCUCCCCUUUGUCCAGAAGUCCAGUCACACCCUACAAAAGCCCAAACUUCUUAUCUUGUUCUGGACUGGUUUCCUGCCACCCUGGAAACGCACAGGAAUAAACCGUGGCUAAUUGCUCCCCUGACCGGCA
RNAcentral lists this long non-coding RNA (1826 nucleotides) under Meriones unguiculatus (Mongolian gerbil). RNAcentral describes it as "lncRNA (ENSMUGG00000006598.1)". Lineage: Eukaryota; Metazoa; Chordata; Mammalia; Rodentia; Muridae. The record is from RNAcentral.